Acanthosepion pharaonis is the source of this 97-nucleotide non-coding RNA. The record is from the annotation of a GenBank genome assembly. NCBI's taxonomy places the organism in Eukaryota, Metazoa, Mollusca, Cephalopoda, Sepiida, Sepiidae.
CAAAACACCAGUUCACGUACGAUCACCGAAGUUAAACAACGCCGAGCCUGGUCAGUAACUAGAUGGGUGACCGCUUGUGAAUACCAUGUCCUGUAAG